AUGACUCCAGAUCACAUAGAGGCAGCGAGAGUUUUUGUUGAGACUCUAGCAUCGACAAAGAAGCAUGCACACCGAACCAUGGUCGAUAUGCCGCCACCAGAUGGGGACAUAUGCACGCCAGCUAUGCUUAAUAAUGUCCUGACGUUUAAAUGGUUGCAUGGCACUGCGUAUUUUCCUAUGCACGUUAAUGAUAAUCAUUGGAUAACCAUAGUGAUGCACACUGUCAAGGAGGAGUUUCAAGUUCUUGACUCAAAUUCUAAAGGCGCAAUUAGCCAAAGAAUUCGCAAUAUGAUUGCCACCCUGAGAGCUGAAAUUUCGAAGGAUAUUAUGGAGGCCAACUCAACUCUUGAAUUAAAAAAAUUUCCAGAAGUCUCAUCGUGGCCAAUUAAUGAGUAUAAAAUGUCGAGACAAAACAAUGGGUAA
RNAcentral lists this ribosomal RNA (423 nucleotides) under Triticum aestivum (bread wheat). RNAcentral's name for it is "partial small subunit ribosomal RNA". The record is from RNAcentral. Lineage: Eukaryota; Viridiplantae; Streptophyta; Magnoliopsida; Poales; Poaceae.